Long non-coding RNA from Mus musculus (house mouse), 440 nucleotides. RefSeq annotates it as predicted gene, 39623. The transcript has 3 exons. Lineage: Eukaryota; Metazoa; Chordata; Mammalia; Rodentia; Muridae. The record is from RefSeq and is a predicted model, not a curated record.
UCUGGCAGGGACUCUGAGGAGAAUCAGGGUCCCUGUAGCAGAAGAGAUCUCUGCUCACACAGUUAAGGAAGAGGUUCACACCAGGAGCUGCCAGGCUCUGGGCUUCCAGGAACUAACCACUUUCUGGAGUUCCACGUGUGGCUGGUUUCUCCGAGCCUUGGACCUAUUUCGUGGACCCUGAUUUUGGAGAGAGAACCGCACCAAAGAACUUCUGGUAUUCUGGCUGCUUUUUGGCACUUCCGCUGUGACCUGUGACGAUUGGGCAGAGUCUCUGGUUUUCUGCUGGAUGUAGUAGCUGCUACUGAUUCGUGUUUGGUGUUUGCUUUUGGACUGGACAGCUGAUAUCCUGACAAUGAAGAUUGUAAUCGCCCCAAAGAACUACUUCUAAACAGGUCCACACCCCUCUUGUCCUAUUGACCAUCUUUCUCCCUAGCUUUGAU